UUCAGAUUACAACUUCAAAAAGAUUAAUAAAAUUCGUGAAACGCAAUUAAUCUGCCGUUGAUAAGACUUUUUUUUUAAAUAAAAAAAAAGAAUAAAAAAAAUGCAAUCACCCACUUCCCACACUAUUACUCUGUAUACUCCACGAUUUCACUACUGCAGUUCCCUAAAAUUUUUACUUUUUCCACUCUCACUGAAUUCCCUGUUCUCUUAGCACCAAAUCGAGUUUCGAUCAUUUAAGGGUUUCGAAGGUUUUUCUUAAUAAACUCCUCGCCACUUCCAUUAUGCUGGCAUACUUACCGAUGAUGGAGUGAGAAUUCUCAGCCAAUCGACAAAAUCAAAGCCGAAAGUGUCACUUGACUUGUGAGAUUUUGCAGUUGCGAGCAAGAAGAAGGGUGAUGAAUUGAAGAUUGAGAGCAGCAGCAGGAAGAUUGACGGGUACAAGACUCGAGAAGAGUUUGAUUUGAUCCGUAAUCAAAGCCGGCAUGACUCAAACCAAAGCGGCAAAGCUUCAAACCAGUCAACUUUAUUCAGUUCUAUUUAUCACAAAAUUUUAAAUUUUAGAUUUCGUUUUAAGAAAGAGUAACUUCCAUUCUCAUAGUUUUAUGCGUGCAUCUAUCAAUUAUAAAGAAAAUUUUCAGUUUGUAUUGGUCAUAUAUUACAUCUAUUGCACGAUUAUAUAUCUAGCAAAAAUAUUGAUGGUACUUUAUAAAAAAAAAAUCAAACAACUACUCAAUUAUAUAUUCUUCUUCAAUGUUCGAUAAUUAUUUUACUAAUGUUUUGAGUUUUCCCCUUAUCAUAUUUUAAUCAAAACCGUUUAA
Molecule: long non-coding RNA, 818 nt
Organism: Chenopodium quinoa (quinoa)
Lineage: Eukaryota; Viridiplantae; Streptophyta; Magnoliopsida; Caryophyllales; Amaranthaceae
Exons: 3
Source: RefSeq, a predicted model, not a curated record